Molecule: long non-coding RNA, 368 nt
Filed under: Populus trichocarpa (black cottonwood)
Lineage: Eukaryota; Viridiplantae; Streptophyta; Magnoliopsida; Malpighiales; Salicaceae
Description: long non-coding RNA (PTRI_LNC002767)
Source: RNAcentral
UCUAAACCAGAAAAUACAGAGUUUGCUGGGAGCUUUGUUAAUGUUUCUCAUAAGCAUGCGAAGAAGUCCAAGACAAGAUUGAUAUUGGGGAUUACAGAAUUGUUGGAAGACUUAGAAAGUGAUGGUGAUGAUAGCAUUGUGGUGGCUUUGGUGCCCAGGUCUAAUAGUGUUAGUGAUCCUGUUGUCAUCUCUGGCGUUAAGAUUGAGUUUGUUAAAGAGUGAUGAUUAUCGAGGACAUCUCGUUUUUGCUUUUCCUUCAGGAGAUCGAUGUAGGUCUUUUAGUGUUUGUCUGGGUGCCUUGCUGCUUAAUAUCAUGCACGUGUAAUUCAACUCUGUACUUUUUUAUUUAACAAUCUACAAUUAAAGUA